UACGAAGGGGGCUAGCGUUGCUCGGAAUUACUGGGCGUAAAGCGCACGUAGGCGGCUUUCUAAGUCGGGGGUGAAAUCCUGGAGCUCAACUCCAGAACUGCCUUUGAUACUGAGGGGCUCGAGUCCGGGAGAGGUGAGUGGAACUGCGAGUGUAGAGGUGAAAUUCGUAGAUAUUCGCAAGAACACCAGUGGCGAAGGCGGCUCACUGGCCCGGUACUGACGCUGAUGCGCGAAAGCGUGGGGAGCAAACGGG
This 253-nucleotide ribosomal RNA is filed under the name uncultured bacterium. RNAcentral's name for it is "partial 16S ribosomal RNA". It matches the Rfam family "Bacterial small subunit ribosomal RNA", at positions 524 to 776 of the family's 1533-position model. The record is from RNAcentral.